This 1406-nucleotide long non-coding RNA is filed under the name Homo sapiens (human). RNAcentral's name for it is "CCR5 antisense RNA, transcript variant 2 (CCR5AS)". The record is from RNAcentral. Lineage: Eukaryota; Metazoa; Chordata; Mammalia; Primates; Hominidae.
ACUCUGAGUAGGUAACAGGUACCAGCUACUGUCAGCAGGGAGGAAGGUAUGUGGUGACCACGAGUCCAGACCUGAGGGUCCUGACCCUCUAAUGCGGCCUCUCACCAGUGUUCGCAGAAACCCACCCGCUGAUUCAAUACGGGGACCAGGAACCUGCCAUGACAGUCACGGCUUCCCUCUUGUCUGGAGGAAAAAGAAAAAAGAGAACCAGACUUAGACACAACUUCUUGUGGGCACAUAUUCAGAAGGCAUCUCACUGGAGAGGGUUUAGUUCUCCUUAGCAGAAGAUAAGAUUUCAAGAUUUCAGCUAAGACUCAUCUCUCUGCAAAUCUUUCUUUUGAGAGCAUCUUCACCAGGAGGAGAUUCCAUCUCAAGAGACCACUUUCACUGCUCAUAUGUAAGAAGCAACUCUUCAUCUGUUCAAGUUUGAUCAUGAGAGUGCGGCAAUUCAGUCACAACUUCAGGCUCCACUUCUAGUUCUAGUUCUCUUGCUGUUUCCACCACAUCUACAGCGACUUCCUCCACUGAAGACGUGAACCCCUGAAAGUCAUCUAUGGGGGUUGGAAUCAAUGUCUUUCACACUCCUGUUAAUGUUGGUAUUUUGACCUCCUCCCAUGAAUUACAAAUGUUCCUAAUGGCAUCUAGAAUAAUGACUACUUUCCAGAAGCUUUUCAAUUUGCUUUGCUCAGAUCCAUCAAUGGAAUCACUAUCAAUGGUAGCUAUAUAAACUAUAUAAGGCUAUAUAUAUAUAUAUAGCUAUUUCUUAAUAGCCUUAUGAAAUAUAUUUCUUAAUAAGACUUGAAAGUCUUGGUCCAUGGACUGCAGAAUGGAUGUUUGUGUUAGCAGGGAUGAAAACAACAUGAAUAUUCUCGUACAUCUCCAACACAGCUCUUGAUCGACAUGGUGCAGAGCAGUAAUAUUUUGAAAGGAAUCUUUUUUUCUGAGCAAUAGUUCUCAAUAGUGGGCUUGAAAUAUUCAGUAAACCAUGCUGUAAACAGAUGUGUUGUCAUCCAGGCUUUAUUGUUCCAUUUAUGGAGCACAGAUAGAGUAGAUUUCGCAUAAUUCUUAAUGACACCAGGAUUUACAAAAUAGUAAAUGAACAUUUACUUCAACUUAAAGUCAUCAGCUGCAUUCACCUCUAAAAAGAGAGUCAGCCUGUCCUGUGGAGCUUUGCAGCUUGCCUUGACAUCUCCUCUCUAGCUGUGAAAGUCCUGGAUGGCAUCUUCUUCCAACAUAAGACUGUUUUGUCUACACUGAAAAUCUGUUGUUUCGUGUAGACACUUUCAUCAAUUAUCUUAUCUAGAUUUUCUGGAUAACUUGCCACAGCUUCUCCCUUUGCACUUGCUGCUUCAUCUUGCAUUUUUAUGUUAUGGAGAUGUUGUCUUUCAUUAAACCUCACAAACCAA